RNAcentral lists this ribosomal RNA (301 nucleotides) under uncultured bacterium. Its description in RNAcentral is "partial 16S ribosomal RNA". It matches the Rfam family "Bacterial small subunit ribosomal RNA", at positions 509 to 809 of the family's 1533-position model. The record is from RNAcentral.
CAGUAGCCGCGGGAAUACGGAGGGUGCAAGCGUUAAUCGGAAUUACUGGGCGUAAAGCGUGCGUAGGUGGUGGUUUAAGUCCGUUGUGAAAGCCCUGGGCUCAACCUGGGAAUUGCAGUGGAUACUGGGUCACUAGAGUGUGGUAGAGGAUAGUGGAAUUUCCGGUGUAGCAGUGAAAUGCGUAGAGAUCGGAAGGAACAUCUGUGGCGAAGGCGACUAUCUGGGCCAACACUGACACUGAGGCACGAAAGCGUGGGGAGCAAACAGGAUUAGAUACCCGCGUAGUCCCUGUCUCUUAUAA